UUCCAGACUCCUACGGGAGGCAGCAGUGAGGAAUAUUGGUCAAUGGGCGAGAGCCUGAACCAGCCAAGUCGCGUGAAGGAUAACGGCCCUACAGGUUGUAAACUUCUUUUGUCAGGGAGCAAUUGAGUCCACGUGUGGGCUUAGCGAGAGUACCUGAAGAAAAAGCAUCGGCUAACUCCGUGCCAGCAGCCGCGGUAAUACGGAGGAUGCGAGCGUUAUCCGGAUUUAUUGGGUUUAAAGGGUGCGUAGGCGGAAUAUCAAGUCAGCGGUAAAAAUUCGGGGCUCAACCCCGUCGUGCCGUUGAAACUGAUGUUCUUGAGUGGGCGAGAAGUAUGCGGAAUGCGUGGUGUAGCGGUGAAAUGCAUAGAUAUCACGCAGAACUCCGAUUGCGAAGGCAGCAUACCGGCGCCCAACUGACGCUGAAGCACGAAAGCGUGGGUAUCGAACAGGAUUAGAUACCCUAGUAC
Molecule: ribosomal RNA, 467 nt
Filed under: uncultured bacterium
Lineage: Bacteria
Description: bacterial SSU rRNA
Rfam family: Bacterial small subunit ribosomal RNA
Source: RNAcentral